RNAcentral lists this ribosomal RNA (253 nucleotides) under uncultured bacterium. RNAcentral describes it as "partial 16S ribosomal RNA". It matches the Rfam family "Bacterial small subunit ribosomal RNA", at positions 524 to 776 of the family's 1533-position model. The record is from RNAcentral.
UACGGAGGGUGCAAGCGUUAUCCGGAUUCACUGGGUUUAAAGGGUGCGUAGGUGGGUUGGUAAGUCAGUGGUGAAAUCCCCGAGCUUAACUUGGGAACUGCCAUUGAUACUAUCAAUCUUGAAUACCGUGGAGGUCAGCGGAAUAUGUCAUGUAGCGGUGAAAUGCUUAGAUAUGACAUAGAACACCAAUUGCGAAGGCAGCUGGCUACACGAAUAUUGACACUGAUGCACGAAAGCGUGGGGAUCAAACAGG